UUAAGCGACUAAGCGUACACGGUGGAUGCCCUGGCAGUCAGAGGCGAUGAAGGACGUGCUAAUCUGCGAUAAGCGUCGGUGAGGUGAUAUGAACCGUUAUAACCGGCGAUUUCCGAAUGGGGAAACCCAGUGUGUUUCGACACACUAUCAUUAACUGAAUCCAUAGGUUAAUGAGGCGAACCGGGGGAACUGAAACAUCUAAGUACCCCGAGGAAAAGAAAUCAACCGAGAUUCCCCCAGUAGCGGCGAGCGAACGGGGAGGAGCCCAGAGCCUGAAUCAGUGUGUGUGUUAGUGGAAGCGUCUGGAAAGGCGCGCGAUACAGGGUGACAGCCCCGUACACAAAAAUGCACAUAUUGUGAGCUCGAUGAGUAGGGCGGGACACGUGGUAUCCUGUCUGAAUAUGGGGGGACCAUCCUCCAAGGCUAAAUACUCCUGACUGACCGAUAGUGAACCAGUACCGUGAGGGAAAGGCGAAAAGAACCCCGGCGAGGGGAGUGAAAAAGAACCUGAAACCGUGUACGUACAAGCAGUGGGAGCCUCUUAAUGGGGUGACUGCGUACCUUUUGUAUAAUGGGUCAGCGACUUAUAUUCUGUAGCAAGGUUAACCGAAUAGGGGAGCCGAAGGGAAACCGAGUCUUAACUGGGCGCUAAGUUGCAGGGUAUAGACCCGAAACCCGGUGAUCUAGCCAUGGGCAGGUUGAAGGUUGGGUAACACUAACUGGAGGACCGAACCGACUAAUGUUGAAAAAUUAGCGGAUGACUUGUGGCUGGGGGGGAAAGGCCAAUCAAACCGGGAGAUAGCUGGUUCUCCCCGAAAGCUAUUUAGGUAGCGCCUCGUGAAUUCAUCUCCGGGGGUAGAGCACUGUUUCGGCAAGGGGGUCAUCCCGACUUACCAACCCGAUGCAAACUGCGAAUACCGGAGAAUGUUAUCACGGGAGACACACGGCGGGUGCUAACGUCCGUCGUGAAGAGGGAAACAACCCAGACCGCCAGCUAAGGUCCCAAAGUCAUGGUUAAGUGGGAAACGAUGUGGGAAGGCCCAGACAGCCAGGAUGUUGGCUUAGAAGCAGCCAUCAUUUAAAGAAAGCGUAAUAGCUCACUGGUCGAGUCGGCCUGCGCGGAAGAUGUAACGGGGCUAAACCAUGCACCGAAGCUGCGGCAGCGACACUAUGUGUUGUUGGGUAGGGGAGCGUUCUGUAAGCCUGUGAAGGUGGCCUGUGAGGGUUGCUGGAGGUAUCAGAAGUGCGAAUGCUGACAUAAGUAACGAUAAAGCGGGUGAAAAGCCCGCUCGCCGGAAGACCAAGGGUUCCUGUCCAACGUUAAUCGGGGCAGGGUGAGUCGACCCCUAAGGCGAGGCCGAAAGGCGUAGUCGAUGGGAAACAGGUUAAUAUUCCUGUACUUGGUGUUACUGCGAAGGGGGGACGGAGAAGGCUAUGUUGGCCGGGCGACGGUUGUCCCGGUUUAAGCGUGUAGGCUGGUUUUCCAGGCAAAUCCGGAAAACCAAGGCUGAGGCGUGAUGACGAGGCACUACGGUGCUGAAGCGACAAAUGCCCUGCUUCCAGGAAAAGCCUCUAAGCAUCAGGUAACAUCAAAUCGUACCCCAAACCGACACAGGUGGUCAGGUAGAGAAUACCAAGGCGCUUGAGAGAACUCGGGUGAAGGAACUAGGCAAAAUGGUGCCGUAACUUCGGGAGAAGGCACGCUGAUAUGUAGGUGAAGCGACUUGCUCGUGGAGCUGAAAUCAGUCGAAGAUACCAGCUGGCUGCAACUGUUUAUUAAAAACACAGCACUGUGCAAACACGAAAGUGGACGUAUACGGUGUGACGCCUGCCCGGUGCCGGAAGGUUAAUUGAUGGGGUUAGCGGUAACGCGAAGCUCUUGAUCGAAGCCCCGGUAAACGGCGGCCGUAACUAUAACGGUCCUAAGGUAGCGAAAUUCCUUGUCGGGUAAGUUCCGACCUGCACGAAUGGCGUAAUGAUGGCCAGGCUGUCUCCACCCGAGACUCAGUGAAAUUGAACUCGCUGUGAAGAUGCAGUGUACCCGCGGCAAGACGGAAAGACCCCGUGAACCUUUACUAUAGCUUGACACUGAACAUUGAGCCUUGAUGUGUAGGAUAGGUGGGAGGCUUUGAAGUGUGGACGCCAGUCUGCAUGGAGCCGACCUUGAAAUACCACCCUUUAAUGUUUGAUGUUCUAACGUUGGCCCCUAAUCGGGGUUGCGGACAGUGUCUGGUGGGUAGUUUGACUGGGGCGGUCUCCUCCUAAAGAGUAACGGAGGAGCACGAAGGUUGGCUAAUCCUGGUCGGACAUCAGGAGGUUAGUGCAAUGGCAUAAGCCAGCUUGACUGCGAGCGUGACGGCGCGAGCAGGUGCGAAAGCAGGUCAUAGUGAUCCGGUGGUUCUGAAUGGAAGGGCCAUCGCUCAACGGAUAAAAGGUACUCCGGGGAUAACAGGCUGAUACCGCCCAAGAGUUCAUAUCGACGGCGGUGUUUGGCACCUCGAUGUCGGCUCAUCACAUCCUGGGGCUGAAGUAGGUCCCAAGGGUAUGGCUGUUCGCCAUUUAAAGUGGUACGCGAGCUGGGUUUAGAACGUCGUGAGACAGUUCGGUCCCUAUCUGCCGUGGGCGCUGGAGAACUGAGGGGGGCUGCUCCUAGUACGAGAGGACCGGAGUGGACGCAUCACUGGUGUUCGGGUUGUCAUGCCAAUGGCACUGCCCGGUAGCUAAAUGCGGAAGAGAUAAGUGCUGAAAGCAUCUAAGCACGAAACUUGCCCCGAGAUGAGUUCUCCCUGAGACUUAGAGUCUCCUGAAGGAACGUUGAAGACGACGACGUUGAUAGGCCGGGUGUGUAAGCGCAGCGAUGCGUUGAGCUAACCGGUACUAAUGAACCGUGAGGCUUAACCUU
This 2902-nucleotide ribosomal RNA is filed under the name Escherichia coli UMEA 3221-1. RNAcentral's name for it is "bacterial LSU rRNA". It matches the Rfam family "Bacterial large subunit ribosomal RNA". The record is from RNAcentral. Lineage: Bacteria; Pseudomonadati; Pseudomonadota; Gammaproteobacteria; Enterobacterales; Enterobacteriaceae.